AUUGAACGCUGGCGGCAUGCCUUACACAUGCAAGUCGAACGGUAACGGGCCUCCGGGUGCCGCCGAGUGGCGCACGCGUGAGUAAUACAUCGAAACGUGCCCGUGCGUGGGGGGUAACGAGUCGAAAGCUUUGCUCAUAUCCCACACGAUUUACGGGUGAGAGCAGGGGGCCGCAACGCCUUGCGCGGACCGAGCGGCCGAUGGCUGAUUAGGUAGUUGGUGGGAUAAAAGCUUACCAAGCCGACGAUCUGUAGCUGGUCUGAGAGGAUGAUCAGCCACACUGGGACUGAGACACGGCCCAGACUCCUACGGGAGGCAGCAGUGGGGAAUUUUGGACAAUGGGCGGAAGCCUGAUCCAGCCAUGCCGCGUGCAGGAUGAAGGUCUUCGGGUUGUAAACUGCUUUUGGACGGAACGAAGAGCCGUCUUUUAAUACAUUAGUGUCAUGACGGUACCGUAAGAAUAAGCACCGGCUAACUACGUG
This 482-nucleotide ribosomal RNA is filed under the name uncultured bacterium. RNAcentral's name for it is "partial 16S ribosomal RNA". It matches the Rfam family "Bacterial small subunit ribosomal RNA", at positions 30 to 507 of the family's 1533-position model. The record is from RNAcentral.